This 744-nucleotide ribosomal RNA is filed under the name uncultured bacterium. RNAcentral describes it as "bacterial SSU rRNA". It matches the Rfam family "Bacterial small subunit ribosomal RNA", at positions 8 to 796 of the family's 1533-position model. The record is from RNAcentral.
AGAGUUUGAUCAUGGCUCAGAACGAACGCUGGCGGCAGGCUUAACACAUGCAAGUCGAGCGGGCGCUUUCGGGCGUCAGCGGCGGACGGGUUAGUAACGCGUGGGAACGUGCCCUUUGCUCUGGAAUAGCCCUGGGAAACCGGGGGUAAUACCGGAUGUGCCCUGAGGGGGAAAGGUUUACCGGCAAGGGAUCGGCCCGCGUCUGAUUAGGUAGUUGGUGGGGUAAAGGCCUACCAAGCCUACGAUCGGUAGCUGGUUUGAGAGGAUGAUCAGCAACACUGGGACUGAGACACGGCCCAGACUCCUACGGGAGGCAGCAGUGGGGAAUCUUAGACAAUGGGCGAAAGCCUGAUCUAGCCAUGCCGCGUGGGUGAUGAAGGCCUUAGGGUCGUAAAGCCCUUUCGCCGGGGAAGAUAAUGACGGUACCCGGUAAAGAAACCCCGGCUAACUCCGUGCCAGCAGCCGCGGUAAUACGGAGGGGGUUAGCGUUGUUCGGAAUGACUGGGCGUAAAGCGCGCGUAGGCGGAUCGCAAAGUUGGGGGUGAAAGCCCAGGGCUCAACCCUGGAAUUGCCUUCAAGACUCGCGGUCUGGAGUUCGAGAGAGGUGGGUGGAAUUCCGAGUGUAGAGGUGAAAUUCGUAGAUAUUCGGAGGAACACCAGUGGCGAAGGCGGCCCACUGGCUCGACACUGACGCUGAGGCGCGAAAGCGCGGGGAGCAAACAGGAUUAGAUACCCUAGUAGUCC